RNAcentral lists this ribosomal RNA (468 nucleotides) under uncultured bacterium. RNAcentral describes it as "partial 16S ribosomal RNA". It matches the Rfam family "Bacterial small subunit ribosomal RNA", at positions 28 to 507 of the family's 1533-position model. The record is from RNAcentral.
GACGAACGCUGGCGGCGUGCUUAACACAUGCAAGUCGAACGGAAAGGCGCUGCUUUUGCGGCGUGCUCGAGUGGCGCACGGGGGAGUAACACGUGUGUAACCUCUCCUUGUCUUUGUGAUAUCAUCACGAGACUGGGGCUCAUACCGCGUAUGAUCUACUGCUGCGUGUUGGGGGUUGGAAAGAUUCGGCGGUUGGGGAUCGACUCGCGGCUUAUCAGCUUGAUUGUGGGGUAGUUGCUUACCAAGGCUUUGACGGGUAGCCGGCCUGAGAGCGUGACCAGGCACAAUACGACUGAGAGAGGGAGCAGUCGCCUACGUGCGGCAACAGGGGGGAGUAUUGCGCAAUGGGGGGACGCCUGAGGCAGAGGCCCCGCGUGCGGGAUGCUGGGCUUCGGGUGAUGAACCGCUUUGGCCUGUGACGAAGCGUGAGUGACGGUAAUGGGUAAAGAAGCACCGGCUAACUACGUG